GUGAAUCAUCGAAUUUUUGAACGCAUAUUGCACUCUCUGGUAUUCCGGUGAGUAUACCUGUUUGAGGGUAAGUAUAAGGAAUCAUUUACCAAUUUUUUUGGUCAACGGAUAUGAGUUCUCCGCGUUUAUAUCGGUAGCUUGAAAUAAAUGGUCAAGUCUCAUUUUAGUCGAGACGCGUAAUAAUGUUAUUUCGCGAAAUCUUCUUUUUGUGACUAUCAAUUUUUGACG
RNAcentral lists this unclassified non-coding RNA (228 nucleotides) under Ambisporaceae sp. RNAcentral's name for it is "partial contains 5.8S ribosomal RNA and internal transcribed spacer 2". The stretch from base 1 to 71 matches the Rfam family "5.8S ribosomal RNA", at positions 84 to 154 of the family's 154-position model. Lineage: Eukaryota; Fungi; Glomeromycota; Glomeromycetes; Archaeosporales; Ambisporaceae. The record is from RNAcentral.